UGACCUCUGACCUCAAAUCAGGUAUGACUACCCGCUGAACUUAAGCAUAUCAAUGAGCGGAG
RNAcentral lists this ribosomal RNA (62 nucleotides) under Ganoderma lucidum. RNAcentral's name for it is "partial 28S ribosomal RNA". The record is from RNAcentral. Lineage: Eukaryota; Fungi; Basidiomycota; Agaricomycetes; Polyporales; Polyporaceae.